Molecule: long non-coding RNA, 835 nt
Filed under: Gallus gallus (chicken)
Lineage: Eukaryota; Metazoa; Chordata; Aves; Galliformes; Phasianidae
Source: RNAcentral
GAAGCAUUGCCCUAACGGCCGUCUGCGCUCACCUUGGCUCUUCUUCCAGACGGCGUUGGAGGCCGAUGGGCCAUGGCUGGGCGAGCAGGGCCGCAGGCGGGGCUGGGCCGUGGGCAGGCUGAAGGGCACCGGGGGGUGCACGUAGGAGAGGAAUGGCACCGAGGAAGGGGGAGGAGGAGGAGGAGGCCCCGAGAAGCGAGUCAAGGGAGAAGUUGGGCAGAGCUUCAUCCUUCUCCGUCUUCAUGGCCGCUGCAGGACACGGGGCUCUCCUCUUCUUCGUGGUGCUGCAGCCAACAGAGGAGCAGGGAUUAACACUCAGCACGGAGCAACAACCACCUCCUCCUGCUCUUCUCUGGGUGUUAAAAGCCAUCCCCCUCCCUCCCCACCUCUCCCACCCCACGUAUGGUCCCCAAAGCAAGCAAAUGUCACUCCCUCUGCCACGUGCCAUGGGACACUGCCCCCAUGCAUCACCAGCUUCUAGGGUCAGGUGCAGCACAGCAUCCAUAGGCAAAUCCUACCCUGGACCCACAGGACUUCUCCCCCCCCUCCCCCCCCAGGUGACACAGUAAUGGAGGUAUUUCCUCAGCUUUUGAGGGGAAAAUCAGCUUAAAACACAUGGUUUUGGGGUGCUGUGGGUCUGCAACCUGUAUUGGGAAGCACAGCCCGGAUGGAUGGGGGGGUUCUCAGCACAUGGGGUGACACUGAAAGGAGCUGCUGGGGUUGGUGCUGGGGCCCUCAAGCAGUGUCCAUCCCAGGGGCUGGCAGCCCCCAUACACCACAGCUUCCAAUGAAUUUCCUGAUUUCUUGAAAAAAAAACAAACUUGGGAAAACUGCC